UAACCUACUGGGACUCGAACCCACGCGGAUUGCUCCACCGCGACGUUCAAAUGAGAGCAGAUAUUGCUAACAAGCCUGAACACGGCGCCAUAACCACUCGGCCAUCUGAUU
Molecule: transfer RNA, 111 nt
Filed under: Elsinoe australis
Lineage: Eukaryota; Fungi; Ascomycota; Dothideomycetes; Myriangiales; Elsinoaceae
Description: tRNA-Leu
Source: RNAcentral